This is a long non-coding RNA of Lactuca sativa (garden lettuce), 1491 nucleotides long. RefSeq lists it as uncharacterized. The record is from RefSeq and is a predicted model, not a curated record. NCBI's taxonomy places the organism in Eukaryota, Viridiplantae, Streptophyta, Magnoliopsida, Asterales, Asteraceae.
AACACAUCUUUAAAUAAUUUUUAUGAAUGAUUCCUUCUAGUCUUAUAAACAUCACCCAAAAAAAAAAAAAAGUAAUCCUUUGGGCCGUAAAGACAAACAAGUCACCUUUUUGGUCGUCUCGAAAGUAGUCUGCCCUAAAAAACCCCGGCGCAAGAUCUCUAUCAAACCCUCAGGCUUCAGCCGCUCUCCUUAUAAAACAGUACAAACGCACACUACUUGGUGCAUACAAUCCUAUCAUAUUCAUAGCUCAUCAUGUCUGAAUUUGUGGUAGGGCCAUCGUCUUGUUCGCUUAAUUAUAAACAUGACAUGUUCUUGAGUUUUAGAGGUGAUGACGAUCGUUAUAUUUUCACCAGUUCCUUUCUGAAGACGCUUAAGGGUGCCAAUAUUGCCAUCUUGGUAGAUGAUCAAACAAUUAAAACCCCUGAAGAUCUGAAACCAGAAUUGGGGAUUGGCAUCAAAGAAUCCAGGGCUUCUAUUAUUGUGUUGCCCAAAAAUUACACCAGUUGGAUAUUGAUUCUUGAGGAGGGUAUCACAUCCAACCAAUUUGUUAUCCCCAUUUUUUAUCAUGUUGAGCUCACCCAUAUCAGGAAGCAAGAAUAUACAUUUUAGAGAACUUAAAGCGAAGGUUGGAGACCGAGUUUAUUAAAGAAAUUGUUCAAGAUAUCCACUAUAGAUUACAAGUACUAUUAAGGAGUGCUGUGCCACAACUUAUUGGGAGGUACAACUCCAUUAAAUUCGUCACUUAAUGGUUGAAAGAUAGUUCCUCAUAUAUGGGUGACAUACUCACUAUUUUGUGUAUAAGAGAGAUCGGGAAGACAUCUUUAGCCAAAUAUGUCUAUAGGUCAUAUUUUCAUGAAUUUGAUACAAGCAGCUAUAUUGAAGAUAUCAGUAGGAGAUGUGAUGAAAAAUUUAGUGGUUUUUUUGAUUUACAAAAACAAAUGUGUGGUGACAUUACGAAAACAAGUCCAAUUCAAGUUCAUGAUGUUUCUAUGUACACCUCAAUGUCGAGAAUGCAGGAGAUGGUAAAAACAUGUUUAUAGUUCUUGGCAAUAUUGAUAGUCAUUACUUGGAAGCAAAAGUAUUUGAGGUGGGAAGCAAAAUUAUAAUAACAACAAAUUACACAUGGUCGACAACUAGUUGUGCACUAUUGAAAACAGAGAAAAUAUUUAAGGCCUCAUUCUUGACAUGAGAAGAUGGAUCGUUUUAUGCAUAUUUAAUGUUUUUUGUUUUCUCCAUAUACAUGUUUAUCACAUUUUAAAUAUUUUUUGCAUCUAUCUCUUAGUGUGUGUGUGGUCAUGUAUGUCUCUUUUUUACGGCUUAGUACUAGAGGCAAAGAGGGUGGGAAGUUAAAGCGGAAGAAUUGGGUGUAAUUGUUAUAUUUAUUUAUUUUCUCGUGUAUAUUUGUCCUAGCCUCUGCUAGGCUUGGUUUUUAUAAAAGUUAUGAUAUUAGAAAAAGAAGAUGGAUAAUUAAUUAAUCUAGUGUUGCUAGAA